CCCUUGCCACCGAUUCGUAAUACGUUCGUCGCGCCCGGGUUGCCGGAGCCGCUUUCUCGCGGAUCGGGCAGCCCGGCGAUGCGGCAA
RNAcentral lists this transfer RNA (87 nucleotides) under Salmonella sp. FORC89. RNAcentral describes it as "tRNA-Leu". The record is from RNAcentral. Lineage: Bacteria; Pseudomonadati; Pseudomonadota; Gammaproteobacteria; Enterobacterales; Enterobacteriaceae.